AUUUGUUCAUUUUAACCUUGACCACUCUUUUAAAAUUUAAUAAAAUAUUAAAUAAGGUUUCUGUAUCUGAAUUUGGCAGCUUCUGAUAAAUUAAAGAAUAUAUUUGGUAUAUAUAAAUCAAUGAGGGGUACUAAACAAACAACAAAAACAAGGCGUCUUUAGGUCAACAUAGUCUUCAACAAAGAUAGGGAUCUAUACAAUUUGUUCAGUGUUUAUAGUUUAAAAUUCGUCAACAAAAUUUACAAAAUAUCUAUAAAGAAAAAUGUCGACAAAAUUUACUAAAUAUAUAAAUAUCUAUUAACAUUUGUAAAAGAAAAAAAGUCAACAAAAUUUACUAAAUAUCUCGAAAGAAAAAAGUCCACAAAAUUUACUAAAUAUUUCUAAAAGAAAAAAGUCGACAUAAUUAACUAAAUAUCUAUAAUGAAAGAAGUCCAC
RNAcentral lists this long non-coding RNA (435 nucleotides) under Mytilus galloprovincialis (Mediterranean mussel). Lineage: Eukaryota; Metazoa; Mollusca; Bivalvia; Mytilida; Mytilidae. The record is from RNAcentral.